GACGAACGCUGGCGGCGUGCUUAACACAUGCAAGUCGAACGGAAAGGCCCUGCUUUUGUGGGGUGCUCGAGUGGCGAACGGGUGAGUAACACGUGAGUAACCUGCCCUUGACUUUGGGAUAACUUCAGGAAACUGGGGCUAAUACCGGAUAGGAGCUCCUGCUGCAUGGUGGGGGUUGGAAAGUUUCGGCGGUUGGGGAUGGACUCGCGGCUUAUCAGCUUGUUGGUGGGGUAGUGGCUUACCAAGGCUUUGACGGGUAGCCGGCCUGAGAGGGUGACCGGCCACCUUGGGCCUGAGGUACGGCCCAGUCUCCUACGUGAGGCAGCAGUGGGGAGUAUUGCACAAUGGGCGGAAGCCUGAUGCAGCAACGCCGCGUGCGGGAUGACGGCCUUCGGGUUGUAAACCGCUUUCGCCUGUGACGAAGCGUGAGUGACGGUAAUGGGUAAAGAAGCACCGGCUAACUACGUG
RNAcentral lists this ribosomal RNA (468 nucleotides) under uncultured bacterium. RNAcentral's name for it is "partial 16S ribosomal RNA". It matches the Rfam family "Bacterial small subunit ribosomal RNA", at positions 28 to 507 of the family's 1533-position model. The record is from RNAcentral.